UUGUUGGACUUGUGCUGUUCAGUAUGUAAGAAAUGUUUUGGAACAUGUGAAGGAAGUUGCUAACUUUUUCAACUCUUCCCAAUGCAGACAACUAAUUUUGGAGAAAUGCAUUGGAGAGCACUGUCCAGAUUCUGCAAAAAAGAGAUUGAAAAGUGCUUGUAAGACAAGAUGGCAAAUUUAUUUUCUUCA
Molecule: long non-coding RNA, 189 nt
Organism: Xenia sp. Carnegie-2017
Lineage: Eukaryota; Metazoa; Cnidaria; Anthozoa; Malacalcyonacea; Xeniidae
Exons: 3
Source: RefSeq, a predicted model, not a curated record